Molecule: non-coding RNA, 145 nt
Filed under: Clostridium botulinum
Lineage: Bacteria; Bacillati; Bacillota; Clostridia; Eubacteriales; Clostridiaceae
Source: RNAcentral
AUUAAAUAGGUCGUUAGGUGCUCUAUUAAAAGAGGUAAAAGGGAAAGUAGUUAAAGACUACUAUAGCUCCCGCUACUGUAAAUGAGGAUGAAAUCUAAAUUACCAUCCGUAAGGAGAAGGAUCCCGCAUCUUUUAAGAUGCGGUU